GAUGAACGCUGGCGGCGUGCCUAACACAUGCCAGUCGAGCGAUUCUCUUCGGAGAAUGGCGGCUGACGGGUGGGUAACGCGGGGGUAACCACCCCUGUACACACUGCUUACAUACCGGAAAGUAUGCUAAUACGAGAUAACAUACUUUUAUCGCAUUGUAGAAGCAUCAAAGGUUUUGCGGUACAGGGUGGAUCCGCGUCUGAUUAGCUGGUUGGUGGGGUAAUGGCACAGCAAGGCGAGGACCAGUAUCCGACAUGAGAGGGUGAUCGGCCACAUUGGAGCUGAGACACAGUCCAAAAUCCUACGGGAGGGAGGAGAGGGGAAUAUAGCACAAGGGGGGAAGGUCUGAUGGAGCAGCGCCGGGUGAGCGAUGAAGGGCGUCGGGACGUAAAGCUCUGUCCUCAGGGAAGAUAAUGACGGUACUUGAGGAGGAAGCCCCGGCUAACUACGUG
This 452-nucleotide ribosomal RNA is filed under the name uncultured bacterium. RNAcentral's name for it is "partial 16S ribosomal RNA". It matches the Rfam family "Bacterial small subunit ribosomal RNA", at positions 28 to 507 of the family's 1533-position model. The record is from RNAcentral.